GGAAGAGUCAAAGUUCAGGAGCUAGAGGCGCCGGGAGCCUGGGAAAUGGAAUACCCCUACACAACCAAGAUGCUGAGUUCCUCCCUGAGCCCGCAAAACGGCACCUGGUCAGACACCAUCUCUCUGCUCUUAGCUCUUGGCGUUGCUCUCUACUUGGGCUACUACUGGGCAUGUGUGCCCCAGAGGCCUCGUCUGGUGGCUGGGCCCCAGUUUCUGGCCUUCCUGGAACAACACUGUCCAGUCACUGUGGAGACUUUCUACCCGACACUGUGGUGCUUUGAGGGACGGCUGCAAACCAUCUUCCGAGUCCUCCUGCAGUCUCAGCCUGUGGUCCCUUACCGGAGUGAAGUCCUCCAGACCCCAGAUGGAGGCCAGUUCCUUCUAGACUGGGCCGAGCAGCCUAACAGCACUCACUACCCGGACCCUACCACCCAGCCCAUAGUACUGCUGCUUCCAGGCAUCAGCGGCAGUAGCCAGGAGCCGUACAUCUUACACCUAGUUAACCAAGCUCUGAAGGAUGGCUAUAGGGCUGUUGUAUUUAAUAACCGAGGAUGCCGAGGGGAAGAGCUGCUGACUCACAGGGCUUACUGUGCCAGCAAUACUGAAGACCUAGAAACAGUUGUGAAGCACAUAAAACGUCGCUACUCCCAAGCUCCACUGCUGGCUGUGGGCAUCUCUUUUGGAGGGAUACUGGUGCUUAACUAUCUGGCACAGACUGGGAAGGCUGGAGGCUUGGUCGCAGGACUGACCAUUGUCUGCAUGUUGGGAUUCCUUUGAGACCGUUGACUCCUUGGAGACCCCACUCAACUCACUGCUCUUCAAUCAGCCACUCACUGCUGGACUCUGCCGGCUUGUGGCCAGGAACCGAAAGCCAAUUGAAAAGGUGUUGGAUGUAGACUUUGCGAUAAAGGCCCGCACGAUCCGCCAGCUGGAUGAGCGCUACACAUCUGUGGCUUUUGGGUAUAAAGACUGUGCGGCUUAUUACCAAGCCGCAAGCCCAAGAACCAAGGUAGAUGCCAUCCACACCCCUGUUCUCUGCCUCAAUGCAGCAGAUGACCCCUUCUCCCCAGUCCAUGCCUUCCCUCUGCAGGCUGCCCAGAAGUCUCCCUAUGUGGCCCUGCUCAUCACAGCUCGGGGUGGCCACAUUGGCUUCCUGGAAGGGCUGAUGCCCUGGCAACACUGUUACAUGAACCGCGUACUACAUCAGUAUGCCCGAGCCAUCUUCCAGCACUCAGUGGGGCUACCUGACCUGGGAGUACUCACUCCUGAAGAUGGAAAGAGCUGACAAGAGGACUGCUGGGCUCUCGGUUCAAUUGUUCUCUCUUUAUUAAAUAUCAACUCUUCCUGCCUAACGAG
This is an RNA transcript of Mus musculus (house mouse), 1356 nucleotides long. It is a transcript of the gene named abhydrolase domain containing 1, transcript variant 1, noncoding, with no coding region annotated. The transcript is spliced from 9 exons. Lineage: Eukaryota; Metazoa; Chordata; Mammalia; Rodentia; Muridae. The record is from RefSeq and is marked validated.